CCUAGUUAGUUCAAUUGUUAGAACACCACACCUCACAACCUGAAUGGAAAUGCGGGUUCAAUUCCUGCACUGGGCU
Molecule: non-coding RNA, 76 nt
Organism: Rhizophagus clarus
Lineage: Eukaryota; Fungi; Glomeromycota; Glomeromycetes; Glomerales; Glomeraceae
Source: the annotation of a GenBank genome assembly